GGCAUAGCCUGGGCCUUUUGCCAAGUUGUAAAUAGCUUUGGGCGGAAUAAGUUGGUGGGUAAGACCGGGUGCCAGCCGCCGCGGUAACACCUGCGCCACAAGGUUGGCAAUCAUAUUUAUUGGGCCUAAAGCGUUCGUAGCCGGAUAUGUAAGUCUUAAGUGAAAUCGUUGCGCUUAACAAAACGGCGUGCUUGAGAUACUGCAUGUCUAGGGACCGGGAGGCGUUAGGGGUAUUCCGGAGGGAGCGGUAAAAUGCUAUAAUCUCUGGAGGACCACCUGUGGCGAAGGCGCCUAACGAGAACGGGUCCGACGGUGAGGAACGAAAGCUAGGGGAGCAAACCGGAUUAGAUACGAGAAAUUUUCGGAACAAAAAAUUUCUGGACUAACGAGUAAAUAUUGCCUGAUAAAAAACUACAUUUACUCGUGAAGGAAGGAAAAUUAUGGGAAUUUACUCGCUAAGUACCCGAGUAGUCCUAGCCGUAAACGCUGUGUACUAGAUGUUGCAUAUUCCUCGAGAAUAUGCAGUGUCGGAGCGAAGGCAUUAAGUACACCGCCUGGGGAAGGUACGGUCGCAAGGCUGAAACUUAAAGGAAUUUGGCGGGAGAGCACUACAAGGGGUUGCGGCGUGCGGUUUAAUCUAACUCUACGCAGAGAAUCUCACCAGCAGCGACGGCAGAAUGAAGGUCAGAUUAAAUGUCUUACUUGACGAGCCGAGAGGUAGUGCAUGGCCGUCGUCAGCUCGUGCCGUAAGGUGUCCUCUUAAGUGAGGUAACGAGCGAGAUCCAUGCCCAUAAUUGCCAGCGGACGCUUUAGCGGGACUGGGCACAUUAUGGGGACUGCCUUGGAAACAAGGAGGAAGGUGUGGGCAACGGUAGGUCUGUACGCUCCGAAUCUGCUGGGCUACACGCGCGCAACAAUGGCGAGGACAAUGGGAUGCAACACCGAAAGGUGAAGCUAAACCUCUAAACCUCGUCCUAGUCUGGAUUGAGGGUUGUAACUCACCCUCAUGACACCGGAAUCCCUAGUAAUCGGACUUCAUCACGGUCCGGUGAAUAUGUCCCUGCUCUUUGUACACACCGCCCGUCAAACCAACCGAGUUGGGUUUGGGUGAGAUGCAACUUUCAGUUGCAUCAAAU
This 1136-nucleotide ribosomal RNA is filed under the name uncultured archaeon. Its description in RNAcentral is "bacterial SSU rRNA". It matches the Rfam family "Archaeal small subunit ribosomal RNA", at positions 393 to 1408 of the family's 1478-position model. The record is from RNAcentral.